ACUUCGCCGCCGGCGCAGUUGCCGUCUGCUCUAGUGAACUCAGUCCAGGAUGGAAACGCCUCUAUGCUGCGCUCCGUGGGGUACAGCCUGUACCGUACAGGUUGUACCCCACGGAGCGCAACAUAGAGGCGUUCCCGUCAGGAACGAGGGUCACCACAGCGACGGCAGCUGUGCUGGCGGCGAAGU
Molecule: microRNA precursor, 186 nt
Filed under: Ectocarpus siliculosus
Lineage: Eukaryota; Phaeophyceae; Ectocarpales; Ectocarpaceae
Description: miR8621 stem-loop (esi-MIR8621)
Source: miRBase by way of RNAcentral